GCCAGUGUGGCAUGGUGGUUUGAGUGUUAGACUACUACUCUGGAAACCAGGGUUUGAUUCCCAGUUCGGCCA
RNAcentral lists this transfer RNA (72 nucleotides) under Phrynosoma platyrhinos (Desert horned lizard). Its description in RNAcentral is "tRNA-OTHER". The record is from RNAcentral. Lineage: Eukaryota; Metazoa; Chordata; Lepidosauria; Squamata; Phrynosomatidae.